This 425-nucleotide ribosomal RNA is filed under the name uncultured bacterium. Its description in RNAcentral is "partial 16S ribosomal RNA". It matches the Rfam family "Bacterial small subunit ribosomal RNA", at positions 354 to 796 of the family's 1533-position model. The record is from RNAcentral.
GUGGGGAAUCUUGCGCAAUGGGCGAAAGCCUGACCCAGCCAUGCCGCGUGAAUGAUGAAGGUCUUAGGAUUGUAAAAUUCUUUCACCGGGGACGAUAAUGACGGUACCCGGAGAAGAAGCUCCGGCUAACUUCGUGCCAGCAGCCGCGGUAAUACGAAGGGGGCUAGCGCUGCUCGGAAUUACUGGGCGUAAAGGGCGCGUAGGCGGACAGCUUAGUCAGAGGUGAAAGCCCAGGGCUCAACCUUGGAAUUGCCUUUGAUACUGGCUGUCUUGAGUUUGGGAGAGGUGAGUGGAACUCCGAGUGUAGAGGUGAAAUUCGUAGAUAUUCGGAAGAACACCAGUGGCGAAGGCGACUCACUGGCCCAAUACUGACGCUGAGGCGCGAAAGCGUGGGGAGCAAACAGGAUUAGAAACCCUAGUAGUCC